ACCAAUCUAGAAGGUUUGACCCUUAACAACCAAAAAUUUAUUAAACAAAAGAAAUUCAAACCAAACACAAUAAUUAAAAACAUAAACAACAACCAUCACUUCAAAAUGUUAAAAUGUGCGUGGGGGGCAAAAGACCCCAAAAAGUACAUAACCAAAAUACCAAAUAUCUGAAAAUACAAGAAAAUAAAACAUAACAUAAAAAAAAAACUUAGUCCUCAUAGGACUCAGAACUCUCUUCACUACCGGCCUCAGAACCGGAACCAUCAUCAUCACCAUCAUCAUCAUCAGCAGCAUCAUC
This 298-nucleotide long non-coding RNA is filed under the name Lathyrus oleraceus (garden pea). Its description in RNAcentral is "Pisum sativum (pea) long non-coding RNA (PSAT_LNC018262)". The record is from RNAcentral. Lineage: Eukaryota; Viridiplantae; Streptophyta; Magnoliopsida; Fabales; Fabaceae.